Molecule: ribosomal RNA, 1106 nt
Filed under: Dothideomycetes sp. genotype 807 JMUR-2016
Lineage: Eukaryota; Fungi; Ascomycota; Dothideomycetes
Description: eukaryotic LSU rRNA
Rfam family: Eukaryotic large subunit ribosomal RNA (bases 510-1106)
Source: RNAcentral
GAUCAUUACAGAGUUCUGGGUCCUUCGGGGCCCGUCCUCCAACCCCUUGUAUACCUACCUCGUUGCUUUGGCGGACCGUCGCGCCGAGAGGCGCGCGUCCGGCCCCCCCUAACCCGGGGGCUGGGGAGCGUCCGCCGGAGGAAUUUCAAACUCUUGUUUGUAACAAUGCAGUCUGAUCGAAUAUCAAAUAUUCUAAAACUUUCAACAACGGAUCUCUUGGUUCUGGCAUCGAUGAAGAACGCAGCGAAAUGCGAUAAGUAAUGUGAAUUGCAGAAUUCAGUGAAUCAUCGAAUCUUUGAACGCACAUUGCGCCCCUUGGCAUUCCGAGGGGCAUGCCUGUUCGAGCGUCAUUACAACCCUCAAGCUCUGCUUGGUAUUGGGCUUCGUCCUCAUCGGACGUGCCUCAAAGGCCUCGGCGGUGGCGUCUUGCCCUCAAGCGUAGUAAAACUUUCUCGCUUUGGAGGUCGGGGCGCCCCCCGCCGGACGAACCUUUUUACUUCUAUCAAGGUUGACCUCGGAUCAGGUAGGGAUACCCGCUGAACUUAAGCAUAUCAAUAAGCGGAGGAAAAGAAACCAACAGGGAUUGCCUCAGUAACGGCGAGUGAAGCGGCAACAGCUCAAAUUUGAAAUCUGGCCCUUCCAGGGUCCGAGUUGUAAUUUGUAGAGGAUGUUUCGGCGAGUGCUCCCGUCUAAGUUCCUUGGAACAGGACGUCAUAGAGGGUGAGAAUCCCGUAUGUGAUGGGUUGCGCGAGCCAUGUGAAACUCCUUCGACGAGUCGAGUUGUUUGGGAAUGCAGCUCUAAAUGGGAGGUAAAUUUCUUCUAAAGCUAAAUACCGGCCAGAGACCGAUAGCGCACAAGUAGAGUGAUCGAAAGAUGAAAAGCACUUUGGAAAGAGAGUUAAAAAGUACGUGAAAUUGUUGAAAGGGAAGCGCUUGCAACCAGACUUGCUCGCAGUUGCUCAACCCGCCUCCUGGUGGGUGUACUCUUCUGCGGUCAGGCCAGCAUCAGUUCGAGCGGUCGGAUAAAGGCGCCGGGAAUGUAGCUCCUCUCGGGGAGUGUUAUAGCCCGGCGUGGAAUGCGACCUGCUCGGACUGAGGAUCUCGCU